GUGGGGAAUAUUGGACAAUGGGCGAAAGCCUGAUCCAGCCAUGCCGCGUGUGUGAAGAAGGUCUUCGGAUUGUAAAGCACUUUAAGUUGGGAGGAAGGGCAGUAAGUUAAUACCUUGCUGUUUUGACGUUACCGACAGAAUAAGCACCGGCUAACUUCGUGCCAGCAGCCGCGGUAAUACGAAGGGUGCAAGCGUUAAUCGGAAUUACUGGGCGUAAGGCGCGCGUAGGUGGUUUUUUAAGUUGGAGGUGAAAUCCCCGGGCUCAACCUGGGAACUGCCUCCAAAACUGCAUGACUAGAGUACGGUAGAGGGUAGUGGAAUUUCCUGUGUAGCGGUGAAAUGCGUAGAUAUAGGAAGGAACACCAGUGGCGAAGGCGACUACCUGGACUGAUACUGACACUGAGGUGCGAAAGCGUGGGGAGCAAACAGGAUUAGAUACCCUUGUAGUCC
Molecule: ribosomal RNA, 450 nt
Filed under: uncultured bacterium
Lineage: Bacteria
Description: partial 16S ribosomal RNA
Rfam family: Bacterial small subunit ribosomal RNA
Source: RNAcentral